CAUACGUAUAGUUCAAUCGCCAUGGAGUCAAAGUCUAUUACAGUCUUUCGGUAUGCGAUUGACUCCAUGGGAAGGCUAUCUGGGUUAAGUCCAUUCGUGCGUUUAAAACUCCCGAACGGCCGGUGUUCGUAUACUUCUGUCGAUUGAGAAGGGAGGUCGGCGGCUUCAGCGGUGUUCGGCAGAAAAAGUGUCCGUUUUCAGUUCCAUGAAAUCAAUGCCGAACACCGCUGGUCUUUCGCAUGGUUUAAAAUGGCCGCCGCCUCGUGGUCGACAUACGAACGACGAC
Non-coding RNA from Pelobates cultripes (western spadefoot toad), 286 nucleotides. The record is from the annotation of a GenBank genome assembly. NCBI's taxonomy places the organism in Eukaryota, Metazoa, Chordata, Amphibia, Anura, Pelobatidae.